Molecule: long non-coding RNA, 537 nt
Filed under: Physcomitrium patens
Lineage: Eukaryota; Viridiplantae; Streptophyta; Bryopsida; Funariales; Funariaceae
Description: long non-coding RNA (PPAT_LNC002427)
Source: RNAcentral
CGCAAAUUCACUCCCGAUCUUCUGGCAUCUAAGAAACCCUAGUAAACACUCCAAACCCUAUUUUACAAGCACCCGAAAAACUAUUUUCCUUAUAUCUCAAAAACCCGAACUCCAAAUGUCAUAAAACUUAUGCACAAAGUUUACUAACAUGAAAUUUCACAUUCCUUGAAAUUUUGAGUCAAAACCUUGUCAAAUUGCUCAAGAUACAGCUCAAGAGACAAAUACUAGUAAAUCGGUUUACUUACUACCCUUAGAUUGAAUGUGCUGACUUCAAAAUCCAAUAACUCCUUCAUUCCAACUUGGAAUCUAGUAAACAGUGUAUGAAAAGUAUAGCCGCAAAAGUUUUCUCUUCAGUCGCGGUCGCCGAUCCUUAAUUUCCAUCAGUACGCGUGCGUUAUGCCCAAAAGAGUGACAGUAGGUUCAAAACUAACACCUUAACUUUGAGCACCUAUAACUUCUUCAUAAAAACCCCAAAUGACACAAAACUUGCACCAAAACCUUAACCAAAAACCUAAACCUUCUGAUUCUAGCCUUCAA